Molecule: long non-coding RNA, 1562 nt
Filed under: Sus scrofa (pig)
Lineage: Eukaryota; Metazoa; Chordata; Mammalia; Artiodactyla; Suidae
Description: lncRNA (ENSSSCG00060062108.1)
Source: RNAcentral
GCAAAGGCACAGACUUCACUUCUUUUGCAGGUGAUCCCAGGAGCUCUGCCUUAACUGACCGUGUGCACAGGUAGGUCUGCCACAGCACUGUCAGCGUGUAUUCUUCUCCAGCUAGAUGGAGUCGACCCCAAAGGAAAAGUUACGAACAGGUGACCUCCACGGUCAGCUGCUCUUCUCCUCUCACGCCCCUUCCAUCUUUUCCCUUCUUGCUUUACGCUUCCCUCCAUGCAGACUCUUCUGGGAGUGAGCUUGACCGAAAAUCAGCAAAUCCAAAUACGCAUGUCGGGGUGACUCUUUGUCUUAUUUUUUUGGCAGAAGAUUUCUUUUUUUCUUUUUACUUUUUGUAGUCAAUAUAGCUUGAAUUAAUAAAUCCAUUUUGUUAGUUAGGUCAGUUCUCAAAAAAGCCGAUAGAACAACCAACAGUUGUUUUCUUUGGAUGUCCUAGUAUGUAUCUUUCCAGGGGCACUGUGAAAGCAGUAAUGCUAUCGCGUAGUCACUGGAAGACCUACUGCCGUUUGAGUUGGAACCUUUGUCUUGGAGGUCUUUCACGUUGUUUCAGGAAUUGCCGUGUUACUGAAAACAUGGUUUUAGAAAGCAAAUACUGCUCAGAUUUAUCUUACGCUCCCCAGAACUCCUCUUCUGGAUUUACUCUUCCUAAUAUUAUUUUUAUACUGACUUUAAAAAUACUGUGCCCAGGAGUUCUUGUCAUGGCUCAGUGGUUAACGAACCAACUAGCAUCCAUGAGGACGCGGGUUCGAUCCCUGGCCUCACUCAGUGGGAUGAGGAUCCAGCAUUGCCGUGAGCUGUGGUGUAGUUUGCAGACCUGGCUCAGAUCCCGAGUUCCCAGGCUAGUGUUUGAAUUGGAGCUACAGCUGCUGGCCUACACCACAGCCCAGCAGUGUAGGAUCCGAGACACAAGUCUGUGACCUGCACCACAGUUCACAGAAACACCGGAUCCUUAACCCACUGAGCGAGACCAAGGGUGGAACCCGUAACGUCAUGGUAACUAGUCGGAUUUGUUUCCACUGAGCCACAAUGGGAACUCUAUUUAUUUUUUUUUUAACACUGGAUUGAUGCUACUGGUACUUGAUGUUAUUUUUUGGAGUAGUGGUUGAGAUAGAGUCAUAGAGCAUUUUCUAAUUGUGGCUCUAGCACUUAUUGUCUUCUCAGCCUUUGGCAACAUACUUCUGUGAUUCUCGCUUGUCUUUUUAUUUAUUGUGGAAUUAUAGACACACUUACAAAUGUAUAUGAAAGUGUGCAGGUACCCUUUAAGGGCAAUGAUGAAGGGAGUUCCCGUCGUGGCUCAGUGGUUAAUGAAUCUGACUAGGAACCAUGAGGUUGCAGGUUGGAUCCCUGGCCUUGCUCAGUGGGUUAAGGAUCCAGUGUUGCUAUGAGCUGUAGUGUAGGUCGCAGACAAGGCUCAGAUCUGGCGUUGCUGUGACUGUGGUGUAGGCCGGCAACCUUAGCUCUGAUUCGACCCCUAGCCUGGGAACUUCCAUAUGCUGCAGGUGCAGCCCUAAAAGGAUAAAAGGAAAAAAAAAAAAAAAAAAAAAAAAAAAAAA